AAAAAUUAAAACAAUAUCACCGAGCAACUCAAAAAAAAAAUCACAACAUCAUGGUUCUUGAUUUCUUCAUCAACAUAGCAGUAUAAAUCCAAGCUCAAAACUUGAGAAAAACUCAUAUCUAAAACGCAUAAUCUUCUUCUCCGUUUUUCUUUUUUUGAACAUUCAGAUUUUUAUGAUUUCCCCUUCACCCCUUCAUAUUUUUU
RNAcentral lists this long non-coding RNA (203 nucleotides) under Trifolium pratense (red clover). Its description in RNAcentral is "long non-coding RNA (TPRA_LNC006352)". Lineage: Eukaryota; Viridiplantae; Streptophyta; Magnoliopsida; Fabales; Fabaceae. The record is from RNAcentral.